GAUCCUGGCUCAGGAUGAACGCUGGCGGCGUGCUUAACACAUGCAAGUCGAACGAGGAUUUAACGGAAUGCGAUUCGUCAAAUGAAAUUAAAUCCGAGUGGCGGACGGGUGAGUAACGCGUGGAUAACCUGCCUCACACAGGGGGGACAACAGCCGGAAAACGGCUGCUAAUACCGCAUAACACAAGCAAUUCGCAUGAAUAGCUUGUCAAAGAUUUUAUCGGUGUGAGAUGGAUCCG
Molecule: ribosomal RNA, 238 nt
Filed under: uncultured bacterium
Lineage: Bacteria
Description: partial 16S ribosomal RNA
Rfam family: Bacterial small subunit ribosomal RNA
Source: RNAcentral